This 497-nucleotide ribosomal RNA is filed under the name uncultured bacterium. Its description in RNAcentral is "partial 16S ribosomal RNA". It matches the Rfam family "Bacterial small subunit ribosomal RNA", at positions 28 to 507 of the family's 1533-position model. The record is from RNAcentral.
GACGAACGCUGGCGGCGUGCCUAAUACAUGCAAGUUGAGCGCUGAAGGUUGGUACUUGUACCAACUGGAUGAGCAGCGAACGGGUGAGUAACGCGUGGGGAAUCUGCCUUUGAGCGGGGGACAACAUUUGGAAACAAAUGCUAAUACCGCAUAAAAACUUUAAACACAAGUUUUAAGUUUGAAAGAUGCAAUUGCAUCACUCAAAGAUGAUCCCGCGUUGUAUUAGCUAGUUGGUGAGGUAAAGGCUCACCAAGGCGAUGAUACAUAGCCGACCUGAGAGGGUGAUCGGCCACAUUGGGACUGAGACACGGCCCAAACUCCUACGGGAGGCAGCAGUAGGGAAUCUUCGGCAAUAGACGAAAGUCUGACCGAGCAACGCCGCGUGAGUGAAGAAGGUUUUCGGAUCGUAAAACUCUGUUGGUAGAGAAGAACGUUGGUGAGAGUGGAAAGCUCAUCAAGUGACGGUAACUACCCAGAAAGGGACGGCUAACUACGUG